This is a regulatory RNA element of Paracoccus aminophilus JCM 7686, 63 nucleotides long. It matches the Rfam family "Glycine riboswitch aptamer", at positions 9 to 86 of the family's 94-position model. Rfam says of the family: This family represents the bacterial glycine riboswitch. Glycine riboswitches usually consist of two metabolite-binding aptamers domains with similar structures in tandem. Lineage: Bacteria; Pseudomonadati; Pseudomonadota; Alphaproteobacteria; Rhodobacterales; Paracoccaceae. The record is from Rfam.
CUCUGGAGAGAGGCGCGCAAGCGUCCGCCGAAGGGAUAACGAUCUCAGGCGCAAAGGACAGAG